AGGACACGCUGGCGGCGUGCCUAACACAUGCAAGUCGAGCGGGGACAAGCGAGUAGCAAUACGAGUUUGUUCUAGCGGCGGACGGGUGAGUAACGCGUGAGCAACCUGUCCCAAACAGGGGGAUAACGAAUCGAAAGGUUCACUAAUACCGCAUGAGACCACAGGGCCACAUGGUCCAGGGGUCAAAGGAGCAAUCCGGUUUGGGGUGGGCUCGCGUCUGAUUAGCCAGUUGGCGGGGUAACGGCCCACCAAAGCGACGAUCAGUAGCCGACCUGAGAGGGUGAUCGGCCACAUUGGAACUGAGAGACGGUCCAAACUCCUACGGGAGGCAGCAGUGGGGAAUAUUGGGCAAUGGGGGAAACCCUGACCCAGCAACGCCGCGUGAAGGAAGAAGGUUUUCGGAUCGUAAACUUCUAUCCUUGGUGAAAAUAAUGAUGGUAGCCAAGAAGGAAGCCCCGGCUAACUACGUG
Molecule: ribosomal RNA, 470 nt
Filed under: uncultured bacterium
Lineage: Bacteria
Description: bacterial SSU rRNA
Rfam family: Bacterial small subunit ribosomal RNA
Source: RNAcentral